UACGUAGGUGGCAAGCGUUGUCCGGAAUUACUGGGCGUAAAGGGCGUGUAGGCGGUUUUUUAAGUCAGGCGUGAAAACUAUGGGCUUAACCGAUAGAUUGCGUUUGAGACUGAGAGACUUGAGGAUCGGAGAGGGCAGUGGAAUUCCCAGUGUAGCGGUGAAAUGCGUAGAUAUUGGGAGGAACACAAGUGGCGAAGGCGACUGCCUGGACGACACCCGACGCUGAGGCGCGAAAGCUAGGGGAGCAAACGGG
This 253-nucleotide ribosomal RNA is filed under the name uncultured bacterium. RNAcentral describes it as "partial 16S ribosomal RNA". It matches the Rfam family "Bacterial small subunit ribosomal RNA", at positions 524 to 776 of the family's 1533-position model. The record is from RNAcentral.